UACGUAGGGCGCAAGCGUUGUCCGGAAUUAUUGGGCGUAAAGGGCUCGUAGGCGGUUUGUCGCGUCGGGAGUGAAAUCCACUGGCUUAACUGGUGGCUUGCUUUCGAUACGGGCAGACUGGAGGUAUGCAGGGGAGAACGGAAUUCCUGGUGUAGCGGUGAAAUGCGCAGAUAUCAGGAGGAACACCGGUGGCGAGGGCGGUUCUCUGGGCAUGUCCUGACGCUGAGGAGCGAAAGUGUGGGGAGCGAACAGG
This 253-nucleotide ribosomal RNA is filed under the name uncultured bacterium. RNAcentral describes it as "partial 16S ribosomal RNA". It matches the Rfam family "Bacterial small subunit ribosomal RNA", at positions 524 to 776 of the family's 1533-position model. The record is from RNAcentral.